Molecule: long non-coding RNA, 425 nt
Filed under: Mus spicilegus (steppe mouse)
Lineage: Eukaryota; Metazoa; Chordata; Mammalia; Rodentia; Muridae
Description: lncRNA (ENSMSIG00000006506.1)
Source: RNAcentral
UGCUGCUUCCCAGGGCCCCAGGGCUACAGAGCUCCGUGUUUCCUCUGCGUAUAACCCGGCUUAACACACAUGCUGGUCAUGCAUAGGAUACAGAGGACAACACCAUCUCCAGAGCACCAGGGCCAGAUUGCUACAAACUCAGAGGCCUCAAACAACACACCGUCACUGCAGUCCGUGGAUUAGGGGUCCAGGUGCAGCUCAGACAGAUUUUUCUGAGACUGCAGGGAGAAGGACACAUGGACUUCAUUGUUUUUCAAGGCUCAGAGUCCUCCUUCCAGUGUAACGGGUGUCAGAAUUCAGUGGCCAAGUUACCAAGGCAACUCUCAGUUUCCAGAGGAUGCCCGAGUACAGCUCUUGGGUAGCUUCUUGGAAAAAGCACUGUGAGACCUUCUCUCUCCCAAAUAAAUCAAGAUAGUCAAAAGGCA